UCAUGGCUCAGAAUAAACGCUGGCGGCGUGCCUAACACAUGCAAGUCGAGCGAGAAAGUUCCUUCGGGAGCAAGUAAAGCGGCGGACGGGUGAGUAACGCGUGAGAAUUUACCCUUUAGUGAGGAAUACCUCUGAGAAAUCAGGGCUAAUACUGCAUAAGUCCCUACGGGGAGAAAGGUGGCCUACUUGCUGCCGCUAAAGGAUAAGCUUGCGGGCUAUUAGCUAGUUGGUGAGGUAAAGGCUCACCAAGGCGAUGAUAGGCUAGCCGGCCUGAGAGGGUGUACGGCCACACUGGAACUUAGACACGGUCCAGACUCCUACGGGAGGCAGCAGUGAGGAAUAUUGCGCAAUGGGCGAAAGCCUGACGCAGCGACGCCGCGUGGAGGAUGAAGGUCUUCGGAUUGUAAACUUCUGUUAAGUGGGAAGGAAGAUUUAUCCCUAAUAUGGAUAAAGGAUGACGGUACCAUUAGAGAAAGCACCGGCUAACUUCGUG
This 493-nucleotide ribosomal RNA is filed under the name uncultured bacterium. Its description in RNAcentral is "bacterial SSU rRNA". It matches the Rfam family "Bacterial small subunit ribosomal RNA", at positions 17 to 507 of the family's 1533-position model. The record is from RNAcentral.